UCCCAGGAACCUUUUUGAAACUGUGCUUGG
RNAcentral lists this non-coding RNA (30 nucleotides) under Rattus norvegicus (Norway rat). Lineage: Eukaryota; Metazoa; Chordata; Mammalia; Rodentia; Muridae. The record is from RNAcentral.